This 703-nucleotide long non-coding RNA is filed under the name Corvus moneduloides (New Caledonian crow). RNAcentral's name for it is "lncRNA (ENSCMUG00000005784.2)". Lineage: Eukaryota; Metazoa; Chordata; Aves; Passeriformes; Corvidae. The record is from RNAcentral.
CUUUACUACAAUGUAAUGAACUCCUGAUAGCACCAGUGAAGUUGCCUUUUGGCCUGCCUCUUCCUUACAGCACAAAGAAGAGGAUGGACAUGGUAGGACAUCAGGGAAAUGCAUGAGCAGGGGAAAGAAGAAGAGGAAUAAACAGAAAGUAAAACUGGGUAAAAAAAAGGAAUUGGUGGAAGGAGAAGUGAUGUGGAGACACAGAGUAAACAGUGCAACACAAAAGAUGGUAACAAGAAGAAACGCCCUGUGGCAAAAGAAAGCAGAGAGAAAGCAAAGAAAACUGCAGCAAGCAGACAAAGCUGUACUGACUUUGGAGCUCGCAGGAUCAAGGGAUACUUCCAACAAGCAGUUUGGACACGGCCACCCUGCUCACCCACAGAAGCACAUCUCAGACACUCACCAGAAGGCCAGAAACAGCCCUCGGCUCUUUCUACUUGUUGACAUAGAUGGAGCUAAGGAAGGUCAGUGGUAAAUGAAGAGCAGUAGGAAUGGAUUGGUCAUCAUUGUUGUGGAUUGACUCCAUUCUCCCCUCUAACAUGACUCCGUUGGCCUCCAUGGGAUUUGGUUCCUCACUCAUUUCCUGUCCUGCUAUCCUCACACACCAUUGCAACCAUGGCUGUGCCUAAUGGACUCAGAUUUGGGGAACUUCCAGCCCUGCAGAUCUGUUGCUCCCCAUGUUUGCUGCCAUUGGAUCUCUCCU